GUCUAUGGCCAUACCACCUUGAAUAUACCCAGUCUUGUCUGAUCUCAGAAGCUAAGCAGGGUCGGGCCUCAUUCAGUACUUGGAUGGGAGACUGGCCCAGAACAUUGAGUGCUCUAAGCU
Molecule: ribosomal RNA, 120 nt
Organism: Marmota marmota marmota (Alpine marmot)
Lineage: Eukaryota; Metazoa; Chordata; Mammalia; Rodentia; Sciuridae
Source: Ensembl